Non-coding RNA from Odocoileus virginianus texanus, 2075 nucleotides. NCBI's taxonomy places the organism in Eukaryota, Metazoa, Chordata, Mammalia, Artiodactyla, Cervidae. The record is from RefSeq and is a predicted model, not a curated record.
GAGAGUGGAUUAAAAAGGCAAAAGAAAAGUGAGAAAAAUGUUAUAAAGGAAAGCUAUCUUUUAUGCUACCAAUAAUCACAUCCUAUAGCACACUAAUACAAUAAAAAGAGGAAAAUUUAUAAUUUAAUAUUGACUUAUUCCAAUGGAAUCAGAUAUUAAAAUAUUUGCUUCAUUUUAAAGAGAUGUAAUAAUAUAAUUUGUGCAGUUUUUUUAAUUUUUAAUGUUUAGCCAAUAAGAUAGAACCUAAAACAUUGAUUAUUUUAAUCCGUGUGUUUAAUAAUGAACUCAUUGAAAAAUUUGCACUUAAAAGAAUAUAAUUACUCAAAAGAAUGUUUAUGUAGUAUAGCAAAGAAUUAACUGCUCAUGUUUGAUAUUUAUAGAUUUUAUAAAAUUUGUUUCAAGUUUGGAUGCAAUAUUCAUUGAUUUUGUUAAUAUUAAGAUAAAUUUUGCCUGAUAAAUAGUGGUUGUAUAGUAAAUGCUAACUUUACUCUUUGCUUUGUACAAUUUUUCUUAUUUUUGUGUUAGACCUUUCCAUUCCCUUGUGAUUUAAUUGUUUCUCUUGUAGGUAUAUAUUUUAAAAUCUAAUUUGAAAGGUAUGUGAUUUCUGAUAAAUGUAAUCAAAGUAUAAAGUUUUAUUUAAAAUUUAAUUCUCCAUUGUAUCAAGACAUAUGUAUGUUUUGUAUUCUUUUAUUUGUUACAAUUACAAUUGCAUAUGCAAUUUAUUUUGAGUUAUACAUAUCCAUACUUUUCACCAGUUCCUGCUUUUAUGUUGUUCUUUGUCUCAGUUUCAAUUUCUACCUGCUGAAGCACAUUAUUUAAAAUAUUUUCUUCUCUUGUAAUCUGAAAGUGUUAAUGUACUCUAAUUUCUAAUAAACUGCAUUUAUUCUGUGUUGUGAUACCUGAUCUCAGUUCAUCUAUGUUUAAUGUAACCUCUUCUCCAGACUUUUUCUCUCUCUUUUCCAGGAAUUCUAACUAUUCUGUACCUAUAAGCCUCUAAUUCUCCCGUUUUUGUUUAGCCAUUUACAUGUUGUAUCUGUUUAUUUCUUCAGCUGUCUCUGGUCUACUGUUAAUUCUUGAUUUUACAUGCAUAUCUUUCAAUAUAGAAAUUCCACUCAGUUAUUUUUAAAAUCUUCUAGUCUUUUUUAAGUUGAAUAUUCUCUUACGGUAAUUUAUUGAUUAUAAUAAUUAUAAAUAUAACACAUUGCAUAUUGUGUUUGCAGCAUUUGUGAAAUCGGUAGGUAUGGUAACUUCAUCAGUUCAAAAAAUACUUUUAAUCCCUUAUUAUGUAUCCAUUACCGUUCUAGGCAUUGGAAUAAGAGAUAUUAACACAGUAGUCAAAAAAUUUCCCUCAUGAAUUUGACAGUUGAGGAAAGACUUUUCUUCUGCUUCUCUUAUGGGAAUUACUGUCAUUGAAUCUGGUGAAACCUGGCUGAAGACAUUUCCUUCUUAAAGGUGUGCUGGAGCUGUAAAAUAAAUUGGGCUAUUGCUGAGGUCCAGCCCUGGCAGGUCCAGGAAUACCCAAGGGAUGAGUGGUGUCGGCGAGGAAGAAGACAGACACACGCAGAAGGUUGCAUAGAAGAGAUCAUUCACGUGCUUGAAAAGCUCCUACCCGGGUGCAUGCAUGGAUAGCCCUGCCAGCUCGAUACCUGGGUGAGAGAGAGGUGGUUCACAGCUGCAGUGGAGCUGUGAAUCUACCCAUGGGAAGCUCUCUCUUUGCCUGUGGGAAAGCCUGAAUACCUGGCUUCUCUUUUGGCUGAGAUAAGGCCAGUUGGACUUAUGAUGGACUGUUUACAAUUUAGAAUAAGGAACUUUGUGCUGAGGUGUCUCUCUGGCCCCAGUGUACGCCUGUAUUCCUCUGCUGUUGCCUUGCAUCCAAAUAAAAGCCUUCUGUGAGUUGACUCAGGUGACUCCUUUCAAACAUCUAAACUGCAGAAUUAUUUGUACCUCCCUUCAAUUCAUCACUGACACAUCACUUGCUCAACAGGGCCCACUCAGUCAGCCAUAUUUAAAAUUGCUCCCCAGUUCCUCCUUCUCUCAUCUUUUCCAUAUAAUGAAUUACCUUUCAGCACACUUUA